UCGCAAUCUGUAAGUCUUCAAAUCUCCCUCGCAUUUGUCCCGGCUACGGACGGCACCGUUUUGUUCAAACCCUAAAUCUUAUCCGUUUCUUGAGUUUGGUCGUUUCUGAUUAAUCUCUAUCAAUUAUUGAAGCGAUAAUGUUGGUUUAGUUAUUUGUCUCUUUCUAAUUUUCUUGACGGAUUCAAUGUAUUUAUUUUUUACCCUUUUUCAAAUGCUGUUAGGGUUCAUGAAGCUUUGUGGAAUAG
Molecule: unclassified non-coding RNA, 245 nt
Filed under: Hevea brasiliensis (rubber tree)
Lineage: Eukaryota; Viridiplantae; Streptophyta; Magnoliopsida; Malpighiales; Euphorbiaceae
Source: RNAcentral